This 2138-nucleotide long non-coding RNA is filed under the name Manihot esculenta (cassava). Its description in RNAcentral is "long non-coding RNA (MESC_LNC008142)". The record is from RNAcentral. Lineage: Eukaryota; Viridiplantae; Streptophyta; Magnoliopsida; Malpighiales; Euphorbiaceae.
AGAUGACCAAGCUUGAAAGAAAAAGGGUUGUCUUCCAUUUGUUCCAUGUUUGCCGUACCUACACCAAAAGAAAGAGAAAAUUUGUUUGCCUUCUUAUCUUUCAUCUCCACCAUAUUUCUCCAUAAAGACAAAGCCUUCAUCCAUGCAAAAUUUGUUCCUAGGUGUAAUAACCAGCAAAGAAACCAUAGAGAAGGAGGGAAGAAGAAAAGAAGUUUAGGUGCUUAAGUGGUAAGUGAUAGGAAUUGAAAACUAGGUUAGGUAAACAUAUUCUUUCAUGUUUCAAUCAAUUAUAUGCUGUUAAAUGAAUUAAAACUCAUGUUUUUCUUAUUCUUUGUAAAGAACAAAAUCAAAAGGAGGAAGGUACAUCAAGGGAGAAAGGCAAGGAAAAAGAGUAACUAAAGUGUACCUAAAGAUUUUGAAAAGAAUUUGCAAAAGGUUUGGUGAUUGUAUGAAGUUCUGUUUUUCCUUUGAUUUUCUCAUGAAUAUGUAAAAUUAGGGAUUGGUUUUGAUUGCUGGAAAUGCUCUUUUGAUUGUAUGGAUCUAUAAUAUGAAUGUUGAAAUGAUGAUUGGAAGGUUUAAAGCACAUAGAUACAACAUGGGAGCCAAAAACAUAAAACUGGCAGAAUAGGUUCCAACAUGACAGUCUGUGUUGGAAGCCUCAUAACUUAUUGUGUAAUCAUUGAAAUUAAGCCUAAAAUAUAUCAAAUGAAAGCUAAGACAAAAAGCUAAAACUUUCCUGUGUGACCAAAUUCAGAAUCCGUAGUUAAUUAUAUAUAAAUUGCUAAUGAACUUAAACUGGUCACAUGGGAUUGUGCAUUCGGAACAGUUUGUAUCACUUAGACCAUAACCAACGAUUUACUCAAUGAAACGAAUUAAGACCAGUGCCAAAUGAACCCUGGAAAGUAUACCUAAAACUUUGUACAAGAAAGUUAAGCUUGAAUCUAUAUGCAAAUGUCUGCAUAUGAUAUGUUUUGUUAGAUUAAAAACAGAUACCCAAACUGUACUAGUUAGAACCUGAUUGAGCAGCUUGCAAAAAAAAAUUCAUAACUUAAGUUAGGAAUGUUAGAAUUAGAUGUAAUAUAUAUUGUUAGAAAGCUAAGACAUAAAUAUGCAAAGUUCAUGCAGAAAGGUGAGUCUAAUUAUAUCCACAAGAUACUAAAAAAUGUAAUACAAUUUUAGGCAGAAACAAACCUAAAUGUAAAUGUUGACCUAAAAGGGAUUGACAUGCUAGUUUUGCGGCCAAAUUACGCACAUGCUAGCUUGACAUACCUGCUUUACGCACGUGCUAGCUUAGUAGACUAAAACUUUACACACAUGUUCUUGAUGAAAUAAUAAUAUGUUUAUGGCUGAAUAAUAUGCCCAUGAGUGAAUAUGGUCUAUUACACACAUAUGUAUGCUCUUAAGGACUCUUUUUAUUUAUGUGCUUGCUUAUGAAUAUAUAGUUCAACAUAUUUGCUUGUUUCAACAUGUUAAGCAUCUAAAUGAAUAAUUUUAAUACCAAUAAAUAUUUAACAUGUAAAUAUGCAUUCUUGGCCCUAGUAAACCUCAGUGGGAGUCAUAGAUAGCAUAAGGGUAUGGCGUGCCAUAUAUAGUUUAGCAAUACUGCGCCCUAAUGGGCUACAUGAUAUGAUAUUUCGACACAUUACGUUUCAUACAGUUUUCCGGCUUUUUUUAGCCAUACAGGCACAGCAUUCGGCCCCCAGGCCAUACAGUUUGGCACUUUGUGCUAUACAGAUACAAUUUUUCCUUAUCUAGCUAGUUGAUCCUACGAAGAGUUUAUAGGGGGCUAAGAUUUAAUUCUAUGACUUGUUAAUUGCUAGCAUGCACACAAGAUGGUUACCAAAAUAUGAAUGACCUUACAGUUAUAAAAUUUCAUGACCUAAUUUGUCCACUUUUCACCCACUGAUACAUAAAAUUUUCACUUGCUUUUUAUAAAAUGAUUUCAUUAUAUCUGUCAUGAGUAUUCCUAUUAUACUUGAAUGAAUAUAUAUAUUGUUAUUCACCCACUGGGCAUAAGCUCAGCGCAUUGGACUUUCCAAGCGCAGGUAUUAGAUAGAGGAAGCAACAGUUAGGAGGUCUGGUUCUGCAUCAGUACAGAGACAUUAUCAUAACCAGUUAUUCAUAAGAUUUGUACAGAG